Notechis scutatus (mainland tiger snake) is the source of this 1984-nucleotide non-coding RNA. NCBI's taxonomy places the organism in Eukaryota, Metazoa, Chordata, Lepidosauria, Squamata, Elapidae. The record is from RefSeq and is a predicted model, not a curated record.
UCUUAUGCUAAAGACUUGACUUCGUCACGUAAUUCAUACAGCUGUAGCCGGACUAAUUUGAAAGAUCACUUUUCAAAAAGCUGAUAAAAAUGCAGCGUUUGAUUUGAAGAAGAUUGCUGAUUCCAAACACACAUCAUUAGAAAGAAAAACAAACAGCAACUGCUGGCAGAAGCGAAGUUUGCAGCACAAUACAUGUACAAGGCAAUUUCCCCUCUCAAAAUCCUUAAUUCUCAUUAACAAAAGAAAUUAAACUGGCUAGGAAGUUCACAAAUGGCUAUCACAUGGCUUCUGGAUUCUGCAACUGUUGCAUAUGCCGACUGGUUGACAAGAAUCCAAAUUUUGAUCAUGAUGAUUUGAUGGGGAUGCUGCAUACAUACAUAUCUAGCUAUAGUUUCUGGGGGGAAAGCUGUGCUUGUCAUUUAAUAACACUGACAUCUCGCAAGAUCUGGUGAUACCUUGGCAAGUUUGUAAUUAAAAAAAAAAUCUAAAAUAUUCUGCAAAUGCCACAUUGCCACAUAUUAGUUAAAAGUAACAGGCUUGGGACUCCUUGAAAUAUGCACUGUAAUUUAGAACAGUUUGAGAUGUAGGUAUAUACCAAAAGACCAGAUUUUUAACUAGAUCACCUACAAUGACAAUCCUUCAAGGCAUCCUAAUUUCAGAGCACAGUGCAUACAAUCUAACUUUAGCCUUUUCUUUUUAAUUGCAUUCUUACAUUCUCUCUUUAAUAAUACAUCCUAAAUGAUAUGUCCCUCAAGGAAAUUAUUCGAAGUGGAAUUUGCAGGUUAUUAGUUUACUUAUAAUACAUUUUACAGCAGGUUUUACAGCUCAUUAAAUCUAUCCUAACUGGCCUUUCUGAAGCAUGGUAUCAAACUUAAGACAAUUCUUAUUUACUUUUUAUGUAAUUAUUUACUGUGAAUCAUCUUAAUAAAAAGCAGAAAUAUGCAAACAAGUUUUCAAAACUCCCAUCAACUUGAAUAGGCAAAAACACAUCACAAACCAUCAGUUUGUUCCUUAUUGCUUUCCAUGCUGCAUGCCAAUUUCAUCUGUUAUAAAUUAACUAAUGAAAAAGGACAAAAAACAUACAGUACAUUACUGUUUACAAAGAGCAGAUUUAUCUCAAACCCACUGAAAUGCGUAAUCAAUUCUAAAUGGCCACAAAACCCCAUUUUCUUAAACAGAAUUAUGAUACUGAAUAGACCUGUGAACUUGGACUAUAUGACUGAAAUUCAUUUUACAAACAUUUUGUUUCAGUAAGAUUCUCAUUUGACAAUUCAGGCAGAAAAAAAUGUUUGUCCAUGCGUGUACCGUGAGUGUGUGUUUUUGUGCUUACAAGUUUGGGUGCUAUUCCAUUUCUAUUUAUGAUAUAAAUAUAAAAGCAAUUCUUUAUUCCAUCAAAGAAUGCAGGGUAUGUGUGUGCGUGUAUGCGCACACAUACACACACAUAUACACAUGGGUAUUUAGAUAUGUUACAGGGGAAAUAUCAGUUUCCAUUCAUGAGUAGCUAAAUGGAUUUAACCAAUAUAAUAUCUUCCAGAUGACAACACACUAACUGGCAAUUAUGAAGUUUUAGCCCAAAAUUUGAUUUGGAAAGAGAAAGCAGAAUAUCAAGGCAAGCAAUUUAUACAUGAGAAAGAAUUGAAUCAAACACAAAAUUCAGAUAUGGAGAUUGUUGCACAGACAGCCUCGUGUGGUAUCUAUAUUUAAGGGCAAAUAUUAUUUUCCCAUCUUCUUAGACUACAAUUGAGUUCCAAUUUAUUUAUUAAUCUCUGAGUGUAAAUGCUCAAGAUUAAUUGAUAAAAUGCACUCAUCUCACUGUCAACUGUGGAUGAUGCUCAUAUAAAGGCCUGAAAGUAUUUUUAUAUGACACUGUAUUCAAGAUGUGAUUUGGAUUUAGUCAAAAACAAAUGAUCCAGGACAAUGUUUCUUAAAAUUUCCUCCCCUGACCCAAAAGCAGUUUUUCUUUAUAUGUGUUAUAUUUACUACA